Molecule: long non-coding RNA, 1223 nt
Organism: Aedes aegypti (yellow fever mosquito)
Lineage: Eukaryota; Metazoa; Arthropoda; Insecta; Diptera; Culicidae
Exons: 3
Source: RefSeq, a predicted model, not a curated record
GUAACCUUAAUCAUGACAAUGUUGUUAACGCAACUAUUCCAAGAUAUUUUUAAAUUAAAUGAAAUAGUAUCAAUAUUGAAAACAAUGUUGUUGAAAUUACCAUGUCAUAAGACUAUAAUACUGUGUACUUUCAACUUUGUUAUUAUAGUCAAAAGUUAUACUUCUUGAAGUCAAAUAGACUACAUGUGUAGUGAUAAGAAAAAAAAAUGUUCUCGAUUUUACCAUGGCCGUGGUAUAAAUUGCAACCUAGAAAAAGAUCUCAAGCUCAUCCCCAGUGAAGGACGCCAUUUUUGCUUAUCAGUUCUUUCGCAUGGUUAGGUGGAUAAUUUACUUGGUUAUUGAAAGCAAAAAAAAAUAAAUGAAGCAUUAAAGUAGCGACAGAUCAGAGAUACAUGAGGAUCAAGAGAUUGAUGCCCGUGAUAAAAUUCAUAGAAAAUUACUAUUGGGAAGUGGCUUCCCCAUGGUGUUCUAGCUCAAUUGCUGACACAUCAUGAAGAUCAAUUUGGUGUAUAAGGUAAGUUAGCAUGUUAGACAUGUUUUAAAACUCCAUCAAUAAUAUGGUUUUGUUUUCUAGAUAUUGGUGACUUUAUUUACUGUACCGUGGGCUGGCGCUAUACGUAUUUUUUACCGCAUGCUUGCACGCGCUGUUGUGCCACUAUUCAAUCCGAUUCCAUGAGCCGGAACUAUUCCACUGGAAAGGCUCAUCGGAUCAGUAUUCGUACGUCGGUAGCCUUAGCGAAUCUUCCACAAAAAAAGUUAGACGGUCAUCACAUCCAACGAGCCGGGCGUAGUCAGCUAAGCACCAAUCGCGCCAACUGUUAGUGGCUUCGGAAGAUCUUCGAGUUCUGGAACAGUUCGUUGAUCAACGCGUCACUACAUCUCCGUUGUAUAAAGUCUAAGAUAAGUUAAGUUAAUUCGAUUAGAUUCUAUUUCAUUCCGCACUUUUUUGUACUGUGAACCGGACCAAAAAGGUGUGUACAAAUUAUCAAAAACUUAAAAAUAUAAUUAUACAAAGUUUAUUUACUAAAAAAAUAUAUAUAUUAUUUAGUAUAGAUAUACGCAUUAUGUAUCAGAUAACAAAUUUUACAAAAUAUCGGACGAUCAUAAAGAUCAGUUCUAUAGGUAUUUUGUACAAAUUUGCAUAUCUGAAUGCAUUAUGCGUGAAUCGUUAUAAAGGAUUUAAUAAUUUUAGAUAAAUUUCAUUUUCAUUUUCAUUUUGCAGC